AGUAAGACACCAUGGAGGUUGGUAGUAAGACAUCAUGGAGGUUGGUAGUAAGACACUAUGGAGGUUGGUAGUAAGACACCAUGGAGGUUGGUAGUAAGACAUCAUGGAGGUUGGUAGUAAGACACUAUGGAGGUUGGUAGUAAGACACCA
Scomber japonicus (chub mackerel) is the source of this 150-nucleotide long non-coding RNA. RefSeq lists it as uncharacterized. The record is from RefSeq and is a predicted model, not a curated record. Lineage: Eukaryota; Metazoa; Chordata; Actinopteri; Scombriformes; Scombridae. The transcript has 3 exons.